RNAcentral lists this ribosomal RNA (467 nucleotides) under uncultured bacterium. RNAcentral describes it as "bacterial SSU rRNA". It matches the Rfam family "Bacterial small subunit ribosomal RNA", at positions 1 to 460 of the family's 1533-position model. The record is from RNAcentral.
CCCUUAGAGUUUGAUCCUGGCUCAGGAUGAACGCUAGCUACAGGCUUAACACAUGCAAGUCGAGGGGCAGCAUGGUCUUAGCUUGCUAAGGCCGAUGGCGACCGGCGCACGGGUGAGUAACGCGUAUCCGACCUGCCUUACACUCUUGGACAGCCUUCUGAAAGGGAGAUUAAUACAAGAUGUUAUCAUGAGUAAGCAUUUUCACAUGAUUAAAGGUCUACCGGUGUAAGAUGGGGAUGCGUUCCAUUAGAUAGUAGGCGGGGUAACGGCCCACCUAGUCUUCGAUGGAUAGGGGUUCUGAGAGGAAGGUCCCCCACAUUGGAACUGAGACACGGUCCAAACUCCUACGGGAGGCAGCAGUGAGGAAUAUUGGUCAAUGGACGAGAGUCUGAACCAGCCAAGUAGCGUGAAGGAUGAAGGUUCUAUGGAUUGUAAACUUCUUUUAUACGGGAAUAAACGAAUCCACG